This 389-nucleotide ribosomal RNA is filed under the name uncultured bacterium. RNAcentral describes it as "bacterial SSU rRNA". It matches the Rfam family "Bacterial small subunit ribosomal RNA", at positions 29 to 416 of the family's 1533-position model. The record is from RNAcentral.
AUUGAACGCUGGCGGUAGGCCUAACACAUGCAAGUCGAACGCGAAAGUCCUUCGGGAGUGAGUAGAGUGGCGGACGGGUGAGUAACGCGUAGGAAUCUAUCCUGUAGUGGGGGAGUAACGUUUCGAAAGGAACGCUAAUACCGCAUACGCCCCAACGGGGGAAAGGCGGGGGAGUCUUCGGACCUCGUGCUAUAGGAGGAGCCUGCGUCGGAUUAGCUAGUUGGUGAGGUAAAGGCUCACCAAGGCGACGAUCCGUAGCUGGUCUGAGAGGAUGAUCAGCCACACCGGAACUGAGACACGGUCCGGACUCCUACGGGAGGCAGCAGUGGGGGAAUAUUGCGCAAUGGGCGAAAGCCUGACGCAGCCAUACCGCGUGUGUGAAGAAGGCC